UACCGCGUGUGUGAAGAAGGCCUUCGGGUUGUAAAGCACUUUAAGCAGGGAGAAAAAGUUAUAAGUUAAUACCUUAUAACCCUGAUGUUACCUGCAGAAUAAGCACCGGCUAAUUCCGUGCCAGCAGCCGCGGUAAUACGGAAGGUGCAAGCGUUAAUCGGAAUUACUGGGCGUAAAGCGCGCGUAGGUGGUUUGUUAAGUUGGAUGUGAAAGCCCUGGGCUCAACCUAGGAACUGCAUCCAAAACUAACUCACUAGAGUACGAUAGAGGGAGGUAGAAUUCAUAGUGUAGCGGUGGAAUGCGUAGAUAUUAUGAAGAAUACCAGUGGCGAAGGCGGCCUCCUGGAUCUGUACUGACACUGAGGUGCGAAAGCGUGGGUAGCGAACAGGAUUAGAUACCCUGGUAGUCCACGCCGUAAACGAUGACAACUAGCUGUUGGGAGACUAUGUCUUUCAGUGGCGCAGCUAACGCUUUAAGUUGUCCGCCUGGGGAGUACGGCCGCAAGGCUAAAACUCAAAUGAAUUGACGGGGACCCGCACAAGCGGUGGAGCAUGUGGUUUAAUUCGAUGCAACGCGAAAAACCUUACCUACUCUUGACAUACUUGGGAGCUCUUGUAAUGAGAGUGUGCCUUAUGGAACCAAGAUACAGGUGCUGCAUGGCUGUCGUCAGCUCGUGUCGUGAGAUGUUCCGUUAAGUCGGAUAACGAGCGCAACC
This 715-nucleotide ribosomal RNA is filed under the name uncultured Gammaproteobacteria bacterium. RNAcentral's name for it is "bacterial SSU rRNA". It matches the Rfam family "Bacterial small subunit ribosomal RNA", at positions 395 to 1103 of the family's 1533-position model. The record is from RNAcentral. Lineage: Bacteria; Pseudomonadati; Pseudomonadota; Gammaproteobacteria.